UACAGAGGUGGCAAGCGUUGUUCGGAAUUACUGGGCGUAAAGGGCGCGUAGGUGGUUCGCUAAGUCCCAUGUGAAAGCCCUCGGCUCAACUGAGGAAUGGCAUGGGAAACUGGUGGGCUAGAGUUCGGGAGAGGGAAGCGGAAUUCCGGGUGUAGCGGUGAAAUGCGUAGAUAUCCGGAGGAACACCGGUGGCGAAGGCGGCUUCCUGGACCGACACUGACACUGAGGCGCGAAAGCUAGGGGAGCAAACGGG
Molecule: ribosomal RNA, 253 nt
Filed under: uncultured bacterium
Lineage: Bacteria
Description: partial 16S ribosomal RNA
Rfam family: Bacterial small subunit ribosomal RNA
Source: RNAcentral